RNAcentral lists this non-coding RNA (393 nucleotides) under Solanum lycopersicum (tomato). RNAcentral's name for it is "Eukaryotic large subunit ribosomal RNA". It matches the Rfam family "Eukaryotic large subunit ribosomal RNA", at positions 3005 to 3399 of the family's 3401-position model. The record is from Rfam by way of RNAcentral. Lineage: Eukaryota; Viridiplantae; Streptophyta; Magnoliopsida; Solanales; Solanaceae.
ACAGUGUCGUAAUAGUAAUUCAACCUAGUACGAGAGGAACCGUUGAUUCACAUAAUUGGCCAUCGCGCUUGUUUGAAAAGCCAGUGGCGUGAAGAUACCGUGUGCUGGAUUAUUACUGAACGCCUCUAAGUCAGAAUGCGGGCUAAGAAGCGACGCAUGCGCCCGCCGUCCGCUUGCCGAACCGCAGCAGGGGCCUAUGGCCGCCAAGGGCACGUGUCGUUGGUUAAGUUGCCACGACGGAAGCGUCGCAGUGACCGCCUUGAAGUACAAUUUCCAUUGAGCAGUAGGUAGAAUCAUUUGCAGACGACUUAAAUACGCGAUGGGGUAUUGUAAGUUGCAGAGUGUCCUUGCUACCACGAUCCACUGAGAUUCAGCCCUUUGUCGCUCUGAUUC